Unclassified non-coding RNA from Pongo abelii (Sumatran orangutan), 150 nucleotides. It matches the Rfam family "Metazoan signal recognition particle RNA". Rfam says of the family: The signal recognition particle (SRP) is a universally conserved ribonucleoprotein. Lineage: Eukaryota; Metazoa; Chordata; Mammalia; Primates; Hominidae. The record is from Ensembl.
GCCAGGUGUGGUGGUGUGCACCUGUAGUCCUAACCACUUGGGAGGCUGAGACGAGAGGAUUGCUUGAGGCCAGGAGUUUGAGGCUGCAGUGAGGUAUAUGAUAGCACCACUGCACUCUAGCCUGGGUGACAGAGCAAGACCCCAUCUCUU